AUCAAGACUGCUAGCACGGACCAGAGAUAAUUACUGUCUCUGAGCGUCGCUGAGAGAGAGAGAGGAUUAGGCUGUGGUGAGAGAGACUACUGUCUCUGAGAGUGGCUGAGAGAGAGAGAGAGAGAGAGAGAGAGAGGAUUAGGCUGUGGUGAGAGAGACUACUGUCUCUGAGCGUGGCUGAGAGAGAGAGAGAGAGAGAGAGAGAGAGAGAGAGAGAGAGGAUUAGGCUGUGGUGAGAGAGACUACUGUCUCUGAGCGUGGCUGAGAGAGAGAGAGAGAGAGAGAGAGAGAGAGGACUAGGCUGUGGUGAGAGAGACUACUGUCUCUGAGCGUGGCUGAGAGAGAGAGAGAGAGAGAGAGAGAGAGUGGGAGAGAGAGGACUAGGCUGUGGUGAGAGAGACUACUGUCUCUGAGCGUGGCUGAGAGAGAGAGAGAGAGAGAGAGAGAGAGAGAGAGAGAGAAAGAGAGAGAGAGGACUAGGCUGUGGUGAGAGAGACUACUGUCUCUGAGCGUGGCUGAGAGAGAGAGAGAGAGAGAGAGAGAGAGAGAGAGAGGACUAGGCUGUGGUGAGAGAGACUACUGUCUCUGAGCGUGGCUGAGAGAGAGAGAGAGAGAAAGUGGGAGAGAGAGGACUAGGCUGUGGUGAGAGAGACUACUGUCUCUGAGCGUGGCUGAGAGAGAGAGAGAGAGAGAGAGAGAGAGAGAGAGAGGACUAGGCUGUGGUGAGAGAGACUACUGUCUCUGAGCGUGGCUGAGAGAGAGAGAGAGAGAGAGAGAGAGAGAGAGAGAGGACUAGGCUGUGGUGAGAGAGACUACUGUCUCUGAGCGUGGCUGAGAGAGAGAGAGAGAGAGAGAGAGAGGACUAGGCUGUGGUGAGAGAGACUACUGUCUCUGAGCGUGGCUGAGAGAGAGAGAGAGAGAGAGAGAGAGAGAGAGAGAGAGAGAGAGAGAGGACUAGGCUGUGGUGAGAGAGACUACUGUCUCUAGGCUUUAUAACCGAGCCACCACGACCAAAACAAAAUGUCGUCUCUGUCUCUGACACAGUGUGUCAUCAGGGAAGUAAACACCUCGUUAUAUAUAUAGAAAACAAAACAAACGCCAAAUGGGGAUUUUAUUUUCGUAUAUUGUACCGUCUCUGUUUAGUCGUAUGUUUACUACAUAAAAAUAAUACAUAUUGAUGCAUUAAAUGCACCUCUGAGAUUAUGUAUAUAUUUCCUAAUAUUAGGCCUAUUAAUAUUUAUUGCUCUGAAAGAAACAAAGCAGAUUUUAUUUUGAAGUCAAAUAUAGAAACAUCUGGUACUACCCCUCCUCUCAGGUCCAUGAGAAGAACAGAACUACCCCUCCUCUCAGGUCCAUGAGAACAGAACUACCCCUCCUCUCAGGUCCAUGAGAACAGAACUACCCCUCCUCUCAGGUCCAUGAGAACAGAACUACCCCUCCUCUCAGGUCCAUGAGAAGAACAGAACUACCCCUCCUCUCAGGUCCAUGAGAAGAACAGAACUACCCCUCCUCCUCUCAGGUCCAUGAGAACAGAACUACCCCUCCUCUCAGGUCCAUGAGAACAGAACUACCCCUCCUCUCAGGUCCAUGAGAACAGAACUACCCCUCCUCUCAGGUCCAUGAGAAGAACAGAACUACCCCUCCUCUCAGGUCCAUGAGAACAGAACUACCCCUCCUCUCAGGUCCAUGAGAAGAACAGAACUACCCCUCCUCUCAGGUCCAUGAGAACAGAACUACUCCUCCUCUCAGGUCCAUGAGAACAGAACUACCCCUCCUCUCAGGUCCAUGAGAACAGAACUACCCCUCCUCUCAGGUCCAUGAGAAGAACAGAACUACCCCUCCUCUCAGGUCCAUGAGAACAGAACUACCCCUCCUCCUCUCAGGUCCAUGAGAAGAACAGAACUACCCCUCCUCUCAGGUCCAUGAGAACUGAACUACCCCUCCUCUCAGGUCCAUGAGAAGAACAGAACUACCCCUCCUCUCAGGUCCAUGAGAAGAACAGAACUACCCCUCCUCUCAGGUCCAUGAGAACAGAACUACCCCUCCUCUCAGGUCCAUGAGAAGAACAGGAGACAGAAAGAGACAGACUGGGAACAUUACAUGUCCAGGCUUUGACUGACAGAGGACUGGAAGGGACCCGUUGGGACUAACUCGUUAUCAUGCUAUUGAAGGACAACAACAGCCUUGACUGCCACCAAUAAAUAUAACAAUAUUUUUUAUUUAUUUAUAAUAAACUUUUGAAAUAAUUAUAUACACAUCCGGCAACAUUGGAGUACCAGAUGAGGACCGGGGAAGAGACAGAACCAGAACCAGAACCAGGAGACAAUAACAGAAGGACGUCGCGCCCCAAACCCACACCGAGACAAAGAGGCAGCCCAGAAUCCCCACGUCAGGACAUGCCAAGAAGGCUCCUCUCGACCUGGACAGACAAGACAACCAUGUAUUCUGCAACAGCAGUAUUGGAUCAGGACAGACAGACAGACGGACGGCCUAAGGAUCUGCCCCGACCACCACCCUUCUGAUCAGGACAGACAGACAGACGGACGGCCCAAGGAUCUGAUCAGGACAGACAGACAGACGGCCUAAGGAUCUGCCCCAACCACCACCCUUCUGAUCAGGACAGACAGACAGACGGACGGCCCAAGGAUCUGAUCAGGACAGACAGACAGACGGCCUAAGGAUCUGAUCAGGACAGACAGACAGAUGGCUGUCCCAACCACCACCCUUCUGGAAACCUGUGCCUUUAACCAACUCCAUCACAUCCAUUUUGCUUUUGUUUUCUGAUUGUUGUCCAAUUUUGGGUUGGAGCUCUGCUACUGGAUGCAUCUCCCGUACUGUCCUGCCCUCUAGUGGACAACUGGAUACAUCUUCCGUACUGUCCUGCCCUCUAGUGGACAACUGGAUACAUCUUCCGUACUGUCCUGCCCCCUGGUGGACAAGAGAAUACAUCUCCCGUACUGUCCUGCCCUCUAGUGGACAACAGGAUACAUCUCCCGUACUGUCCUGCCCCCUAGUGGACAACUGGAUACAUCUCCCGUACUGUCCUGCCCC
This 3051-nucleotide long non-coding RNA is filed under the name Salmo salar (Atlantic salmon). RNAcentral's name for it is "lncRNA (ENSSSAG00000117014.1)". The record is from RNAcentral. Lineage: Eukaryota; Metazoa; Chordata; Actinopteri; Salmoniformes; Salmonidae.